Long non-coding RNA from Lolium rigidum, 918 nucleotides. RefSeq lists it as uncharacterized. The record is from RefSeq and is a predicted model, not a curated record. The transcript has 2 exons. Lineage: Eukaryota; Viridiplantae; Streptophyta; Magnoliopsida; Poales; Poaceae.
ACCCUGGUUUCCCGAUAACCUUUUUCCGAUAAAAACAUAUCUUUCGACUCUUAAUACCCAUCUUUUAAUUGGUUCUCUGAAUCAAAAAUCCGACUCCAUAGUUGUGUCGGCCUCGUCAAGAUGGUCGAAACAGACUACUCAUACCCCGAAAUCGAACUGCGGAUGCAUCUUCCAUUGUUUAUUUUAUUUCAAUGGUUAUGAUUAUUUGGGAAUUUCGAAUUUAUCUUUUAAUUAAGGUAAAGAGGGUGAGCUGACCCUUAUCUCUAUCCUAGUCUUGAGCCUCAUCCACUCCAUCGUGAGCACUCCAUCAUCAUCCCCAAGCCAGACCCCCUCCCUCACCCGUGGUCUCCUCCUUUCCUCAUGGCUUUCCCUCCACCUCCCCCUUCCUGGCCUCUUCUCCCCUGAAUCUCCAACCUGUACCACGGCCCAGGCCUUCUCCAAGGGCAGCUGAUAGUAUCUUGAAGAGACAAGCGAGAGGAGAGAAGAAGAUCGAAGAAGAGGAGAAGAAAAGAAGAUCCUCAACCCUUACCUCUGUCCGAUUUCUUCUGGUCAAGCUCCAAGUCAGGUUGCAGCACCACCCCGCAGGAGGUAGCCUCACACCACCUCCCUCGCAACGGUUGAGGCGAGUACACCGGGCAAUCCAAGAUAUAUUCAUUUCUAUAAUAUGCCCAUGUUUAUAUGAUUCACUUAUAUUCAUGCAAUGGUGAACAUGACAUUUCCUAGUGUACAUUCCAAUGAACCAUACCACUAGUAUGAUAUAGGGAUUGGUUAUUCUUGGUUCUUAUUGAUACAAAAUCCAUCAUGGGCGUAUCUUCCCAACUCCAAGGAAUGAUCCUCGCUUUGCGAGCGUAUGGUCCUUCGUGUCCAUCCCCAUGCUAUGGUCCUCUCACUUGGUGAGAUGGAAAGGAGUUGUGGUGA